AGCGGAGGAAAAGAAACCAACAGGGAUUGCCCCAGUAACGGCGAGUGAAGCGGCAACAGCUCAAAUUUGAAAUCUGGCCCCAGGCCCGAGUUGUAAUUUGCAGAGGAUGCUUUUGGCGCGGUGCCUUCCGAGUUCCCUGGAACGGGACGCCAUAGAGGGUGAGAGCCCCGUCUAGUAGGAUACCCAGCCCAUGUGAAGCUCCCUCGACGAGUCGAGUAGUUUGGGAAUGCUGCUCUAAUGGGAGGUAUACUCCUUCCAAGGCUAAAUACCGGCUGGAGACCGAUAGCGCACAAGUAGAGUGAUCGAAAGAUGAAAAGCACUUUGAAAAGAGAGUCAAAUAGCACGUGAAAUUGUUGAAAGGGAAGCGCUCGCUACCAGACUUGAGUUAGGCGGUUCAACCGGGGCCACGCCCCGGGGCACUCCACCUGCUCAGGCCAGCAUCAGCUUUCCGUCGGGGGCAAAGGCGUCGGGAAUGUGGCUCUCCUCCGGGAGAGUGUUAUAGCCCGGCGUGUCAUACCCUUCGGGGGGCUGAGGUACGCGCUUCUGCAAGGAUGCUGGCGUAAUGGUAGCUAGUGACCCGUCUU
This 584-nucleotide ribosomal RNA is filed under the name uncultured fungus. RNAcentral describes it as "eukaryotic LSU rRNA". It matches the Rfam family "Eukaryotic large subunit ribosomal RNA", at positions 49 to 655 of the family's 3401-position model. The record is from RNAcentral. Lineage: Eukaryota; Fungi.